Molecule: ribosomal RNA, 75 nt
Filed under: Bacillus thuringiensis
Lineage: Bacteria; Bacillati; Bacillota; Bacilli; Caryophanales; Bacillaceae
Description: partial 16S ribosomal RNA
Rfam family: Bacterial small subunit ribosomal RNA
Source: RNAcentral
GGUGGGACAGAUGAUUGGGGUGAAGUCGUAACAAGGUAGCCGUAUCGGAAGGUGCGGCUGGAUCACCUCCUUUCU